GACGAGGGGUCCUAGCGUUGUUCGGAAUCAUUGGGCGUAAAGCGUGUGUAGGCGGCCAACUAAGUCGGAUGUGAAAUCCCCAGGCUUAACCUGGGAACUGCAUCCGAUACUGGAUGGCUUGAAUCCGGGAGAGGGAUGCAGAAUUCCAGGUGUAGCGGUGAAAUGCGUAGAUAUCUGGAGGAAUACCGGUGGCGAAGGCGGCAUCCUGGACCGGCAUUGACGCUGAUGAGCGAAAGCUAGGGGAGCAAACGGG
This 253-nucleotide ribosomal RNA is filed under the name uncultured bacterium. RNAcentral's name for it is "partial 16S ribosomal RNA". It matches the Rfam family "Bacterial small subunit ribosomal RNA", at positions 524 to 776 of the family's 1533-position model. The record is from RNAcentral.